RNAcentral lists this unclassified non-coding RNA (343 nucleotides) under soil metagenome. RNAcentral describes it as "partial contains 5.8S ribosomal RNA, internal transcribed spacer 2, and large subunit ribosomal RNA". The stretch from base 1 to 120 matches the Rfam family "5.8S ribosomal RNA", at positions 35 to 154 of the family's 154-position model. The record is from RNAcentral.
GAUGAAGAACGCAGCGAAGUGCGAUAAGUAAUGUGAAUUGCAGAAUUCAGUGAAUCAUCGAAUCUUUGAACGCACAUUGCGCCCGCUAGUAUUCUGGCGGGCAUGCCUGUCCGAGCGUCAUUUCAACCCUCAAGCCCCCGGGCUUGGUGUUGGGGAUCGGCGAGCCUCCGCGCCCGCCGUCCCCUAAAUCUAGUGGCGGUCUCGCUGUAGCUUCCUCUGCGUAGUAGCACACCUCGCACUGGGAAACAGCGCGGCCACGCCGUUAAACCCCCAACUUCUGAACGUUUGACCUCGGAUCAGGUAGGAAUACCCGCUGAACUUAAGCAUAUCAAUAAGCGGAGGA